GAUGAACGCUGGCGGCGUGCCUAAUACAUGCGAGUCGAGCGAACAGAUAAGGAGCUUGCUCCUUUGACGUUAGCGGCGGACGGGUGAGUAACACGUGGGUAACCUACCUAUAAGACUGGGAUAACUUCGGGAAACCGGAGCUAAUACCGGAUAACAUUUGGAACCGCAUGGUUCUAAAGUGAAAGAUGGUUUUGCUAUCACUUAUAGAUGGACCCGCGCCGUAUUAGCUAGUUGGUAAGGUAACGGCUUACCAAGGCAACGAUACGUAGCCGACCUGAGAGGGUGAUCGGCCACACUGGAACUGAGACACGGUCCAGACUCCUACGGGAGGCAGCAGUAGGGAAUCUUCCGCAAUGGGCGAAAGCCUGACGGAGCAACGCCGCGUGAGUGAUGAGGGGUUUCGGCUCGUAAAACUCUGUUAUUAGGGAAGAACAAACGUGUAAGUAACUGUGCACGUCUUGACGGUACCUAAUCAGAAAGCCACGGCUAACUACGUG
This 497-nucleotide ribosomal RNA is filed under the name uncultured bacterium. RNAcentral's name for it is "partial 16S ribosomal RNA". It matches the Rfam family "Bacterial small subunit ribosomal RNA", at positions 28 to 507 of the family's 1533-position model. The record is from RNAcentral.